Molecule: ribosomal RNA, 468 nt
Filed under: uncultured bacterium
Lineage: Bacteria
Description: partial 16S ribosomal RNA
Rfam family: Bacterial small subunit ribosomal RNA (bases 52-468)
Source: RNAcentral
GGGGGGGGGGGGGGGGGGGGGGGGGGGGGGGGGGGGGGGGGGGGGGGGGGUGCGGUGGUGGGGUGCGCGGGGGGCGGACGGGUGGGUCACGGGUGGGUAGGCUGCCGUGGAGUUUGGGAUGGCUUCAGCGAGCUGGGGCUACUACCGGACCAGCGCGACUGCUGUCUGGUUGGGGUGUGCACGUUUCGGCGGUUUGGGAUGGACUCGCGGCUUAUCAGCUUGUUUGUGGUGUAGUGGAUCAACAAUGCUUUGACGGGUAGCCGGCCUGAGAGGGUGACCGGCACAAUUGGGACUGAGAUACGGCCCAGACUCCUACGGGAGGCAGCAGUGUGGCAUAUUGCACAAUGGGCGGAAGCCUGAUGCAGCAACGCCGCGGGCGGGAUGACGGCCUUCGGGUUGUAAACCGCUUUCGCCUGUGACGAAGCGGGAGUGACGGUAAUGGGUAAAGAAGCACCGGCUAACUACGUG